UUUGUGCUAAAGUCAACAGUGACAGAGUUUGAGCUCAAAUAAAUGCCGUGAUGUCUGGAGCCCUUUGCAGAAGGCAGAAGGCGAUGCUUCUACAAUGGGCUCCUGUGUGGCUUGCCAACAACAAGCACCGGCUAUUUUGCACAGGGCUCUGCUGACUGAAGUGAUCCCCACGGCCAGAGUGGAAGAGAGGAGGGAGAGGAAGCCUCAGAGGGAAGAGGGAUAGCUGCAGAAGAGCUACACUGAUGCACACACACACUCACUCAAACACUCACACAAUGUCCCACUCAGUCCUGGGUUGUGACCGGCCCAUGGCAUUGGCCAGAUGCACAUGGCUUUCAUUCGAAGGCGCUGCUUACGUCUACUUUCAUCACCCUGCAUCGAGCGACCUGAAAGCACUUCCCUGUCGAUGUACUUGGCUAUAUCUACGUCUGACCUGUCUGCCAUAUGUAAUAUCAAAGCCUCUGUCAGCGUGGAGCUGAAUGGGAACAAAAGAGAGGCCUCCAUUAAUGAUUAACUGUUCUAAAAGCCCCGGCUUUUGUAUUCCCAUGGUGCCCAGGCUAUCUGGCCACCAUGUGACAUGCUCACAGCAUUUUUCGAGCAGAUUGGGGGAAAGCUAGUGAGCAAACACAGGUGCUUUGGAGCAGCGUUGCCGACGCUGUCAGGGACAACCACAAACAAGAGCAGCUAUGCCUGGCUAAAUGAAUCCCCACCCCUCCCAGCACCAUCACCACCCCCUCUCCGUCACUAGCUAACUUGUUUGCUACCUCCCUAUAGGUUUCUACCCGCAAAGCCUUCCUUCUGGAGAGUCCCCACGUCCCCCCCCAACACAAGUCCAGUGUCCGCUACAGCCGUGCUCUACAACUUCUCACACCCUCCAAAGAAACAAACAAAUAAAAGUGAGGACGGCCGACCACUUCUUUGAGGUGAUGGCAUUUGCUGUGGUCAUGACUAGUGGGAGAGCAAACAAAUUAAUGGUGUUCCGAGUUUUCACUUUCCAAACCAAACUAAAUGUCUUUUAGUUCAAGUGGGGCAAUUCCACUGACCCUGGUGUCAAAUGCUGUAUAAGGGUUGCACACUCUUGCACUUGAAAUGCCGAGAGGAGGCCGUAAGAAAUUAAACAGGGCUUGAGUAUUGGCCCACAUGAACCUGGUGUGUUGAAACUCCUUAAAGUGUCAUGUGUCAAAUAAAUCUUGAACAAAUUGUGUGUGUAAUAAACACUCGUGGUUUAUUUAUUUUAUUUUUUUCUGUCUGUCUAUUUUGACCACAAACUUUAACAAGGUGUCUGGAGCACUUAACCUUUUCAUAUAAGCUGACUGAUUGUUCAGAGAGACUGCGGGUGCUGUGUCGCUCAACUUUGAUAAGACAAUCAGAUGAUAGGAUGGCGUUAUCUUAACAUGGCUUUCCGGCUGGGGGACAAAUGAACACUGUGUGAUAACAGGAACAAAAGCUUAGCUCUUAUUGGCUGCCUCCUCCAAAGAAAGGGAAAAUUAUCAGGGUGGAAAAUUCACAAUGGGCGCAGUUUUCAUUUUCAAUUUUCUACUUAGCCCAGGUCACAGGACAGCUUUUUUUUCUAGUCACUCAAAUAUUUAUAUUGUCUCUCGUUCGCAUUUUGGUUUCACAGUGCGCAAUUACCUGCGCCUAUAAAGUUGUCUUUAUCACUACAGAGAUGAUAAAAAAAUGUUUUAAAGCAAACGAUUUAAAUCAACAGGACGGGAAAUGAAGUUGUAAAAGUGAGAGACGGCUGUAGAAAAAGAGGCUGACAAGGAGUGAGUAUGAUAUAUACUGUAGAUAUAUUUCUAGAAAAAUGAAAGGACAGAAAAAUCUUGUCUGUGUCAGAGAGAGAGCAGGAGAUGGAAAGAUGGAGGAAAAGGGUCAAAAGUUGCUUCUUCUGGGACCUGCUACUGAUCAGUAAAACGCCACUUCUGUCUGUGUUUUCUGACUUUUGCAGCCCAAUUCUCAGAGUCAGUGAGGGGUGUGUAUACUCAAGGAUUCACUCUGGGAUUUGUUUGCUCUAUUGCCAAAAAAUGAUUGGAAAAAAUAUUGGUGCCCUGGUAGGAAAUGUUGGAACUUUCUCUGACUUAAAAAAACCCUCUUGCU
Long non-coding RNA from Larimichthys crocea (large yellow croaker), 2097 nucleotides. RefSeq lists it as uncharacterized. NCBI's taxonomy places the organism in Eukaryota, Metazoa, Chordata, Actinopteri, Sciaenidae. The transcript is spliced from 3 exons. The record is from RefSeq and is a predicted model, not a curated record.